Non-coding RNA from Pelobates cultripes (western spadefoot toad), 262 nucleotides. Lineage: Eukaryota; Metazoa; Chordata; Amphibia; Anura; Pelobatidae. The record is from the annotation of a GenBank genome assembly.
ACAACAUCUAUUUAAACCCUCUCUCCCAUUUUCCCAGGUCUCUGUAUCUAUCUAUCAUAUUCGCAAUAUAUUCCAUAGAAUGUCAUUGAGUGAUGGCUAUCUAUUAAACAAGAAGGGCACCUUUCCCCAACAUACAUUGUAACAAGUCGUAUAUCAGCAUGGCCACCGGAUUGCACCCAUAAAGUUAUAAAUGGGGCUCUGAUUGACAGUGACAAUAAAUAGACUAUCACAACCAUUCUGCUUCAACUACUCACCGGGUGGG